GACGAACGCUGGCGGCGUGCUUAACACAUGCAAGUCGAACGGAAAGGCCCUGCUUUUGUGGGGUGCUCGAGUGGCGAACGGGUGAGUAACACGUGAGUAACCUGCCCUUGACUUUGGGAUAACUUCAGGAAACUGGGGCUAAUACCGGAUAGGAGCUCCUGCUGCAUGGUGGGGGUUGGAAAGUUUCGGCGGUUGGGGAUGGACUCGCGGCUUAUCAGCUUGUUGGUGGGGUAGUGGCUUACCAAGGCUUUGACGGGUAGCCGGCCUGAGAGGGUGACCGGCCACAUUGGGACUGAGAUACGGCGCAGACUCCUACGGGAGGCAGCAGUGGGGAAUAUUGCACAACGGGCGGAAGCCUGAUGCAGCAACGCCGCGUGCGGGAUGACGGCCUUCGGGUUGUAAACCGCUUUCGCCUGUGACGAAGCGUGAGUGACGGUAAUGGGUAAAGAAGCACCGGCUAACUACGUG
This 468-nucleotide ribosomal RNA is filed under the name uncultured bacterium. RNAcentral's name for it is "partial 16S ribosomal RNA". It matches the Rfam family "Bacterial small subunit ribosomal RNA", at positions 28 to 507 of the family's 1533-position model. The record is from RNAcentral.